AAUAUUGUUAAAAUGGUAGAUCAGCUUAGGGAAUAUUGCUGUUUUAACAAUAUUUUAAAUGCAGUUUCUAUGAAAAUUCCAUUGCCUUUUUGGCAGAUACAAGCUGACCCUAAAAUUCGUAAGGGACUGCAAAGGACUCAACAAUACCAAAACAAUUUUAAUAAACAAGAACAAAGAGGACUCAAUUCCACUUCCUAAUUUCUAAACUUACUACAAAGCUACAGUUAUCAGGACAAUGUGGUACUUAAGCUUAAGUAUAGACAGAGAGAGAGAUCAGUGGAAUAUAAUUGAGUCUAGAAAUAAACCCAUUCAUCAAUGACCAAUAGAUUUCAAUAAGGGUACCAAGAUAAUACAGUGGGGAAAGAUUCCUGCAGAAGGUGGCUUUGAGGAACCCUUCACUCACCCAUAGGCACCAGCUGGACCCAGGGACCCACAGCAGAAAGGCAGCUGGGACCAUCCACACCUGAGAAGGGGUGUUUACCUGAAAUACAGGAAGUCCACACUCUUGCAGAGUGCUUGCAAUAUGCUUUAUCAUUCUGUUAAUAAUUACUGAAGUUGUGGUAAGAAAUAGCCUAAUUAAUUCAUUAGUUUACCAUGCAUACACUGCCUGGGUUCAAAACCUGGCUCACAUAACUGAGUGUCCUUGAGCCAGUGGUUUAACCUCUUUUUCUCAGUUUCCUCACCUGUAAUAUUUGGAUAAUAAAGAUCUCUAUCUCAUAGAGUUAAGGGAAGGAUUAAAUGAGUCACUAUGCCCAACAAGACUCAAAUAAAAACGAUAUCAAUAUAGCAGCCUCUUUUGUGGUAGAUUUAGAAUAGCCACAGAUUCUUUCACACCCUUCCCACCAGUGGGUGGUGUCUGUAUUUCUUCCCCUUGAAUGCAGAUGGGUUCUACAGUAACUUUACCAAUCGCAUUUGGUAGGAGAGCUGCUGCCUCAGCCUUCAAAAACUGACAACUCCCCCUUCCUGUCUCUUCUGACACACGUCCUGUUAGAAGUCUGACCAUCCUGAGACCACCACGCUGGAGGACCACAUGGACAGGCCCAGCAGAGCCUGCUAGCCUCCCCCCAUCAGUGUGCCAGACAUGAGCAGGCCUUUCUCGGCCCAGUGUGAACACAGCGGACUGUGCCUCUCACUUCCCCCAUGAGCAAAACCACCAGCAGCCACAGCUGCACCUACAGGAGAAGCCACACCGACCGACCGACUUCCCCCAAGUCGGAUUCGACCAAAACUGCAUUUGAUUUCCUGCCUCUGUGUUACGGUCAAGAUUGCCAUUUGCUUCCUCAAUUUCAGGAUUACAGCUGACAAAAGCAUAUCACAACCAUUAAUCAUAGGUGUAUUUUUUUCCUAAAAAUGAUUUCUUUUACUCAUUUUCCCCUGUCCUCCAUUUUGUUCUGCCACCUGGCAGCUACUUCUU
Mirounga angustirostris (Northern elephant seal) is the source of this 1414-nucleotide long non-coding RNA. RefSeq lists it as uncharacterized. NCBI's taxonomy places the organism in Eukaryota, Metazoa, Chordata, Mammalia, Carnivora, Phocidae. The transcript has 2 exons. The record is from RefSeq and is a predicted model, not a curated record.